This 472-nucleotide ribosomal RNA is filed under the name uncultured Thauera sp. RNAcentral's name for it is "bacterial SSU rRNA". It matches the Rfam family "Bacterial small subunit ribosomal RNA", at positions 908 to 1382 of the family's 1533-position model. The record is from RNAcentral. Lineage: Bacteria; Pseudomonadati; Pseudomonadota; Betaproteobacteria; Rhodocyclales; Zoogloeaceae.
AAUUGACGGGACCCGCACAAGCGGUGGAUGACGUGGAUUAAUUCGAUGCAACGCGAAAAACCUUACCUACCCUUGACAUGUCUGGAACCUUGGUGAGAGCCGAGGGUGCCUUCGGGAGCCAGAACACAGGUGCUGCAUGGCUGUCGUCAGCUCGUGUCGUGAGAUGUUGGGUUAAGUCCCGCAACGAGCGCAACCCUUGUCACUAGUUGCCAUCAUUUGGUUGGGCACUCUAGUGAGACUGCCGGUGACAAACCGGAGGAAGGUGGGGAUGACGUCAAGUCCUCAUGGCCCUUAUGGGUAGGGCUUCACACGUCAUACAAUGGAUGGUACAAAGGGUCGCCAACCCGCGAGGGGGAGCCAAUCCCAUAAAGCCAUUCGUAGUCCGGAUCGCAGUCUGCAACUCGACUGCGUGAAGUCGGAAUCGCUAGUAAUCGUGGAUCAGAAUGUCACGGUGAAUACGUUCCCGGGUCUU